Alnus glutinosa is the source of this 608-nucleotide long non-coding RNA. RefSeq lists it as uncharacterized. The transcript is spliced from 2 exons. NCBI's taxonomy places the organism in Eukaryota, Viridiplantae, Streptophyta, Magnoliopsida, Fagales, Betulaceae. The record is from RefSeq and is a predicted model, not a curated record.
UGAUCAAAACAACCUUUCACUUAAAUCAAACCUUUUGUUCUUCUUUUUCUCUUUCUUAUUUCCCAUUUCCAAUAUUAAUAUAUAUAUAUGGCUUUGUAUUCGACAUCCAAAUGACAAAAACUUGAAGAGACUAGUGAAGGAAGCUAUGGAUGGUUACGGUAUGAGGAGACUUGUAUUGAUGAUGAUGAUGAUGAUGAUGAUAACGUUAAUCGUGCCUAUAUCAUCCUCUCUCCAUCCCCAUCCUCCUUCCCCUCCGAGUGACGCGAUCUCUUCAAAAACACUAUGUUAUUUGAACUGUGUUCGAAGAGUAGACCUGAACUUUCUACGAUCUGGCAUUUAUGGACAUACUAUUAGACUAUGUGUGCGUUUUGUAUGUAAUCAUGGAUAGCUGCACUCUUGGUAAACACCAACUUAGAGCAAGGUGUACGUACGUGCAUGAGAAUAAAGUGAACGCCCAUGCAUGCCCAGAAGCCUCCUGGCCAGCUAGCUAUCACCACCUGCAAGACAGAUUUCUAGCUAAUAUUUUCUCAUCAGUUUAUUGAAUAAAAAACACGUGUAUUUUGUAUUAAUGAAUGCUCUAAUUAAUACUACAUAAUUAAUUAAAGCAA